AACGAACGCUGGCGGCAGGCCUAACACAUGCAAGUCGAGCGAGGACUUCGGUUCUAGCGGCGGACGGGUGAGUAACGCGUGGGAAUGUGCCCUUCUCUACGGAAUAGCCCUGGGAAACUGGGAGUAAUACCGUAUACGCCCUAUUGGGGAAAGAUUUAUCGGAGAAGGAUCAGCCCGCGUUGGAUUAGGUAGUUGGUGGGGUAAUGGCCUACCAAGCCGACGAUCCAUAGCUGGUUUGAGAGGAUGAUCAGCCACACUGGGACUGAGACACGGCCCAGACUCCUACGGGAGGCAGCAGUGGGGAAUCUUAGACAAUGGGGGCAACCCUGAUCUUGCCAUGCCGCGUGAGUGAUGAAGGCCUUAGGGUUGUAAAGCUCUUUCAGCUGGGAAGAUAAUGACGGUACCAGCAGAAGAAGCCCCGGCUAACUCCGUG
Molecule: ribosomal RNA, 433 nt
Filed under: uncultured bacterium
Lineage: Bacteria
Description: partial 16S ribosomal RNA
Rfam family: Bacterial small subunit ribosomal RNA
Source: RNAcentral